Molecule: long non-coding RNA, 1465 nt
Filed under: Sus scrofa (pig)
Lineage: Eukaryota; Metazoa; Chordata; Mammalia; Artiodactyla; Suidae
Description: lncRNA (multiple genes)
Source: RNAcentral
ACUCAGAUGAAGUAGAGUCCGGGCCAUCCCGGCUCACCAGUCAUCUCCCGAGCUUGCAAAACAUGUUCACGUUAUCUGACGAAGAAAACUUCUCCAGCAGUGGCCCUCCGCCUUUAGCUUGCAUUAGAAUCUCGCGAAGGACUUGUUAAAAGGGUACUGAAGAGCAUCACCAGCAAAACUGCCAAUUCAGUAAUUCUAACUCCGCGCUGAAAAUGUAUGUUUCUAACAAGGGAGAUCAUCCAUUAAUGCAAAGGACCCUUCUGAAAAAAAGGAUCCAAACCACCUGGAGCCCUCAACCACCAGACUAAGUGGAGCCUAAGGAUUGAUGAUACUGACCCUUGUGACUUCACUUAAUUAGGUGCCUGGAUCUCAUCAACCCAGAAUAUCCUUUGCCUCAUUUUAAUGCUAAAAUCUCCGCCCCAAGGGCAGGGCUUGUUUUGAGCAUGCAAAGUCUAUUCCAGCCUGUUAUCACACUGUUCAUCUAGAACAUCUCUGCAGGGAAGAUCAUACUUGCCCAUUUGAGAAUAUGCAUGUGCCCUUAGCUUAACACUGCCCUGAACUUGUUCAGAACAGUGCUUUGAGAACUCUCUCCCUGUCUCCUUACUUGUCACAAGUUAUAAAUUCUUCUGCUUUGUUGGAAAGUACUUGACACUUCAGUUGCUAUGCAGUCCAAGCAGUGGACCUAUUUGUUACGUUUAUUGAGGAAGGAACGCACAAGGUGGAGUCGAUAAAGCAAGAGAAAUAUAUUAAGGCAUCUGGAACAAAUGGGUUGAGCUCAAGAUGAUAUCAGCCCAGACUGUGAAGAGGAGUUCUGCUUAUAAGGGGCUGGUGGUGGGAAAAAUGUGACAGAAACAAUGUACCAAGGAGGGACGUAGCAAAGGAGUAAACGUCUCCUCUCUGUGUCUCAUGUCCAAAUAUGUGUUGCAGCCACCCUGCCAAGGGCAAGGAGUGACGCAAGCAGGCAGAGUAGUUAAGCCUUAGUAAUGCAUGCUUCACAAGCGACCUUCCAUAUGUCCUUGUCUGCGCUGCUCAACCGGAACAACCACAUCAGCUGUCCCCUUAGAACCUAUCGCUGUUGAGCCAGACAACAGCAUGAAGAGCCCUCCAAAGGAAAAAUAAUGGGAGUUCCCACUGUGGCGCAGUGGGUUAAUGAUCAGGCUCUUCUCUGGCAUUGCAGGUUCAUUCCCUGGCCCUGGUGCAAUGGGUUAAAGAUCCAAUUCCAGAGUUCCUGUUGUGGUGCAGCGGAAAUGAAUCCAACUAGUAUCCAUGAGGAUGAGGGUUUGAUCCCUGGCCUCACUCAGUGGUUCCGGGAUCCAGAUUGCCUGAGCUGUGGUGUAGGUCACAGACACGACUUGGAGCCCGAGUUGCUGUGGCUGUGGCAUAGGCUGGCAGCUACAGUUCCAGUGUGGCUCAGAUUCUCUCCCUGGCCCAGGAACUUCCACAUGCCAUGAGUGUGGCCAAAAAA